CAGGUGUUUAGCAUAUUACAUCAAACCUUCAAAUGGUAAGAUCUUAAAUCCGAGUUCAACUCUUGUUUUCGUAAUGGGCUUUUGAGAUAUUUUUUAAAAAGAUUCAGAAGCCGAAAGCUGAAAUGCAGCACAAAUUUCGAUUAAAUUUGAAAUCGAAAUAAUAUGCAAAAAAAAACAUAUUGAAUGAGGCAUAUAAACAGCAAAACGAACUAACACCACGGCGACGAUUUGCGUUCCGUCCCCUUUUUCCAUUGUUCGGCACCGCAACGCAUUUCUUCUCAUGAUCUCUGAACCUGUCUGGAUCCAUGUGGAAAUUUUUUUUGCAGACCAAACACUUGCUUCCCGUUUUGUCGUAAUGGUUCUUGAUCGAUUGGUACACGUGAAUCUCCUUCUCCCUCGGCGUUGCUAGAGUUAAUACAUCUAAAACAGAGUUAAUGCACACUAUUAGAGUUAAUACAUCCAAAACAUAGUUAACAAUAGAUGUUAAAAAUCUAUUAGAGUUAAUACAUUCAAAACAGAGUUAAUGCAAUCUAUUAGAGUUAAAGAGUUAAUGCAAACUAAUAUAUUUAAUGCAAGUCACAUUAUUAUCGAUUGUGUAUUCAUCAAUAAUUUUUUUAAACGCUAAUGUUCAAACUAAUCAUGACUCUCUAAAUUUUGCUGCAUGUGAACCAAAACAUUGUGAACCAAAACAUUGUUGUGAAAUGUGUACUAAUCAAUAAUUUAUUAAUACAUUCGCUAAUCGAUGAUCUAAGCUAGUUUUUCUAAUUUUUGCUCAAAACAUCAAGGCCUCGUUUAGUUGCCAAUAAUCUAAUUUGCUAAUAAAAUGUUGAAUAAUCUAACGAGAUCCCUCUAAAAAGGUAAAAUAAAGCAAGAUAUGUGGAUAUUUAUCAUAAAAAAAAAUCCAAUUAUUAAACGAAUAAUAGCUUAUCUUUCCAACUAAACAAGGCUAACACUUAUAUAUUUAUCUAAGUCAAAAAAAAUUCUGGAAAAAUAGAGUAAAUCUAAAACAACAACAUUAACAGGUGUUAAAUACACUUCCCAAAAAAAAAAUGUUAAAUACAACUACUUAAACACAAGCGCCGAAAUCAUGCUUCAUUUUCAAAUCUGUUUAGUGAUUACUAAUUCAUAUUAUAUUAAGAAAUACCCCACUAAAAUUGAAUGUUUGAAUCUUCAUUUUCAAAUCAGAUCUGUGAUUACUAAUUCAUAUUAUAUUAAGAAAUACUCCACUAAAAUUGAAUGUUGGAAUCUUCAUUUUCAAAUCUGAUCAGUGAUUUCUAAUUCAUAUUAUAUUAAGAAAAUACCAUACUAAAAUUGAAUGUUGGAAUCUACCUACUUUACCGAUGUAACACAUUAUUUAAUUAAAAAAUGAUGAUUAACAGACAACAUACCUUAGCUUCGCGGCGGUAGGGUUUGAACUUUGAAUUCUCUCGAAGAUGGGUAAGUUCUUCAAUGGUGUGAGAAUUAUAAUUAUAUGAUCGUUUGCUUUUUC
RNAcentral lists this long non-coding RNA (1489 nucleotides) under Erythranthe guttata (spotted monkey flower). RNAcentral's name for it is "long non-coding RNA (EGUT_LNC000153)". The record is from RNAcentral. Lineage: Eukaryota; Viridiplantae; Streptophyta; Magnoliopsida; Lamiales; Phrymaceae.